Molecule: transfer RNA, 72 nt
Filed under: Phrynosoma platyrhinos (Desert horned lizard)
Lineage: Eukaryota; Metazoa; Chordata; Lepidosauria; Squamata; Phrynosomatidae
Description: tRNA-OTHER
Source: RNAcentral
GCCAAUGUGGUGUAGUGGUUUGAGCACUGGAUUAUGACUCUGGAGACUAGGGUUCAAAUCCCCACUCAGCCA